RNAcentral lists this ribosomal RNA (1748 nucleotides) under human gut metagenome. RNAcentral describes it as "bacterial LSU rRNA". It matches the Rfam family "Bacterial large subunit ribosomal RNA", at positions 1129 to 2925 of the family's 2925-position model. The record is from RNAcentral.
AGUGCGUAAUAGCUCACUGGUCGAGUGAAGUUGCGCGGAAAAUUACCGGGGCUAAGCUAUACACCGAAAUUGCGGAUUUGCAGUUGAAAGACACUGUAAGUGGUAGAGGAGCAUUCUGUAGUAGGACGAAGCAGUACCGAAAGGAGCUGUGGACGAGGCAGAAGAGAGAAUGCUGGAAUAAGUAGCGAGAGGAUGGUGAGAAUCCAUCCCGUCGAAAAUCUAAGGUUUCCUAGGGAAGGUUCGUCCGCCUAGGGUAAGUCGGGACCUAAGGAGAGGCCAAAAGGCGUAUCUGAUGGACAGCAGGUUGAAAUUCCUGCACUAUAGCUAUACUUAAAAGAUGCAAGGGACGCAGAAGUGGAAGAUAACCAUGGAAGAGGAAAGACAUGGCCCGCAAGGGGGAGUGAAACAAUAAGUAACGAAGUAUCAAGAAGCACGCUGACGAGAAAAGCUUGUAGACAUUGUAUAGAAAUACCCGUACCGCAAACCGACACAGGUAGAUGAGGAGAGAAUCCUAAGACGAGCGGGAGAAGCAUUGUUAAGGAACUCGGCAAAUUAACCCCGUAACUUCGGAAUAAGGGGUACUGAUGUAACAGUCAGUCGCAGAGAAAAGGCCCAAGCAACUGUUUAACAAAAACAUAGGUUUCUGCUAAAUCGAAAGAUGAAGUAUAGGAGCUGACGCCUGCCCAGUGCUGGAAGGUUAAGGGAAGAGGUUAGAUUAUAUCAAAGCUUCGAACUGAAGCCCCAGUGAACGGCGGCCGUAACUAUAACGGUCCUAAGGUAGCGAAAUUCCUUGUCAGGUAAGUUCUGACCCGCACGAAAGGCGUAAUGAUUUGGGCACUGUCUCGACAAUGUCCCCGGCGAAAUUGUAGUACUAGUGAAGAUGCUAGUUACCUGCGAUAAGACAGAAAGACCCCAUGGAGCUUUACUGCAGUUUGAUACUGGGUUUCGAUGAUUUAUGUACAGGAUAGUUGGGAGGCUAUGAGUAAGAGGCGUCAGCUUCUUAGGAGCCAACGUUGGGAUACCAACCUUAAGUUAUUGAAAUUCUAACCUUUGAUCAUGAACUGGUCAGGGGACAAUGUCAGACGGGCAGUUUGACUGGGGCGGUCGCCUCCUAAAGAGUAACGGAGGCGUCCAAAGGUUCCCUCAGCGCGGACAGAAAUCGCGCGAAAGAGUGCAAAGGCAGAAGGGAGCUUAACUGAGAGACAGACAUGUCGACCAGAUACGAAAGUAGGGCUUAGUGAUCCGGUGGUUGUAAAUGGAAAUGCCAUCGCUCAACGGACAAAAGUUACCCUGGGGAUAACAGGCUUAUCUCCCCCAAGAGUUCACAUCGACGGGGAGGUUUGGCACCUCGAUGUCGGCUCAUCGCAUCCUGGAGCGGAAGUACGUUCCAAGGGUUGGGCUGUUCGCCCAUUAAAGCGGUACGCGAGCUGGGUUCAGAACGUCGUGAGACAGUUCGGUCCUUAUCUAUCGCAGGCGUAAGAUAUUUGAAGAGUGCUGUCCUUAGUACGAGAGGACCAGGAUGGACAUACCAAUGGUGUAUCAGUUGUCUCACCAGAGGCACGGCUGAGUAGCUAAGUAUGGAUUGGAUAAACGCUGAAAGCAUCUAAGUGUGAAGCCAACUCUAAGAUAAGAUAUCUCAUAUCGUAAGGUAGUAAGAUUCCAUAAAGACUAUGUGGUUGAUAGGUUGGAGGUGUAAGUGUAGCGAUACAUUGAGCUGACCAAUACUAAUAAAUCGAGGGCUUAACCAC